Molecule: ribosomal RNA, 395 nt
Filed under: uncultured bacterium
Lineage: Bacteria
Description: partial 16S ribosomal RNA
Rfam family: Bacterial small subunit ribosomal RNA
Source: RNAcentral
CCUACGGGAGGCAGCAGUGAGGAAUAUUGGUCAAUGGGCGCGAGCCUGAACCAGCCAAGUAGCGUGAAGGAUGACUGCCCUACGGGUUGUAAACUUCUUUUAUAAAGGAAUAAAGUGAGGCACGUGUUCCUCUUUGUAUGUACUUUAUGAAUAAGGAUCGACUAACUCCGUGCCAGCAGCCGCGGUAAUACGGAGGAGGCGAGCGUUAUUCGGAUUUAUUGGGUUUAAAGGGAGCGUAGAUGGGUUGUUAAGUCAGUUGUGAAAGUUUGCGGCUCAACCGGAGAAUUGCAUUUGAUACUGGCAGACUGGAGUGCAGGUGAGGUAGGCGGAAUUCGUGGUGUAGCGGUGAAAUGCGUAGAUAUCACGAAGAACUCCGAUUGCGAAGGCAGCUUACU